Molecule: ribosomal RNA, 442 nt
Filed under: uncultured bacterium
Lineage: Bacteria
Description: partial 16S ribosomal RNA
Rfam family: Bacterial small subunit ribosomal RNA
Source: RNAcentral
CCUACGGGAGGCAGCAGUGGGGAAUAUUGGGCACUGGAGGCAACUCUGACCCAGCAACGCCGCGUGAAUGAUGAAGGUCUUCGGAUUGUCAAGUUCUGUGAUGGGGGAUGCACACAAUGACGGUACCCCAAUAGCAAGCCACGCCUAACUACGGUCCAGCAGCCGCGGUAAUACGUAGGUUGCAAGGGUUAUCCGGAUUUAUUGGGUUUAAAGGGUGCGCAGGCGGCCUGUUAAGUCAGCGGUAAAAGCCCGGGGCUCAACCCCGGCGAGCCGUUGAAACUGGCUGGCUGGAGUUGGAGAGAAGUACGCGGAAUGCGCGGGGUAGCGGUGAAAUGCUGAGAUAUCGCGCAGAACCCCGAUUGCGAAGGCAGCGUACCGGCUCCACACUGACGCUGAGGCACGAAAGCGUGGGUAUCGAACAGGAUUAGAUACCCGUGUAGUC